Molecule: ribosomal RNA, 492 nt
Filed under: uncultured bacterium
Lineage: Bacteria
Description: bacterial SSU rRNA
Rfam family: Bacterial small subunit ribosomal RNA
Source: RNAcentral
GAUGAACGCUGGCGGCGUGCUUAACACAUGCAAGUCGAACGGGAUCCAUCAGGCUUUGCUUGGUGGUGAGAGUGGCGAACGGGUGAGUAAUGCGUGACCGACCUGCCCCAUACACCGGAAUAGCUCCUGGAAACGGGUGGUAAUGCCGGAUGCUCCGACUCCUCGCAUGGGGUGUCGGGAAAGAUUUCAUCGGUAUGGGAUGGGGUCGCGUCCUAUCAGGUAGUCGGCGGGGUAACGGCCCACCGAGCCUACGACGGGUAGCCGGCCUGAGAGGGUGAACGGCCACAUUGGGACUGAGACACGGCCCAAACUCCUACGGGAGGCAGCAGUGGGGAAUAUUGCACAAUGGGGGAAACCCUGAUGCAGCGACGCCGCGUGAGUGAAGAAGUAUUUCGGUAUGUAAAGCUCUAUCAGCAGGGAANAAGAAAUGACGGUACCUGACUAAGAAGCCCCGGCUAACUACGUGCCAGCAGCCGCGGUAAAGUCAGAGUG